AGAGUUUGAUCCUGGCUCAGAUUGAACGCUGGCGGCAUGCUUUACACAUGCAAGUCGAACGGCAGCACGGGCUUCGGCCUGGUGGCGAGUGGCGAACGGGUGAGUAAUGCGUCGGAACGCGCCGAGUAGUGGGGGAUAACGCAGCGAAAGCUGUGCUAAUACCGCAUACGUACUGAGGUAGAAAGUGGGGGACCUUCGGGCCUCACGCUAUUCGAGCGGCCGACGUCUGAUUAGCUAGUUGGUGGGGUAAAGGCUCACCAAGGCGACGAUCAGUAGCGGGUCUGAGAGGAUGAUCCGCCGCACUGGGACUGAGACACGGCCCAGACUCCUACGGGAGGCGGCAGUGGGGAAUUUUGGACAAUGGGCGCAAGCCUGAUCCAGCCAUGCCGCGUGUCUGAAGAAGGCCUUCGGGUUGUAAAGGACUUUUGUCCGGGAGCAAAGCCUACUUGUU
RNAcentral lists this ribosomal RNA (451 nucleotides) under uncultured bacterium. RNAcentral describes it as "bacterial SSU rRNA". It matches the Rfam family "Bacterial small subunit ribosomal RNA", at positions 8 to 461 of the family's 1533-position model. The record is from RNAcentral.